GGGCGCGUAGCUCAGUUGGUAGAGCAACGGACUUUUAAUCUGUAGGUCCAGGGUUCGAGUCCCUGCGCGCCCACCA
RNAcentral lists this transfer RNA (76 nucleotides) under Aliihoeflea aestuarii. RNAcentral describes it as "tRNA-Lys". It matches the Rfam family "tRNA". Rfam says of the family: Transfer RNA (tRNA) molecules are approximately 80 nucleotides in length. Lineage: Bacteria; Pseudomonadati; Pseudomonadota; Alphaproteobacteria; Hyphomicrobiales; Phyllobacteriaceae. The record is from RNAcentral. RNAcentral also lists the same sequence under 12 other names.